Molecule: transfer RNA, 72 nt
Filed under: Camelus bactrianus (Bactrian camel)
Lineage: Eukaryota; Metazoa; Chordata; Mammalia; Artiodactyla; Camelidae
Also listed under: 1 other name
Rfam family: tRNA
About the family: Transfer RNA (tRNA) molecules are approximately 80 nucleotides in length. Their secondary structure includes four short double-helical elements and three loops (D, anti-codon, and T loops). Further hydrogen bonds mediate the characteristic L-shaped molecular structure. tRNAs have two regions of fundamental functional importance: the anti-codon, which is responsible for specific mRNA codon recognition, and the 3' end, to which the tRNAs corresponding amino acid is attached (by aminoacyl-tRNA synthetases). tRNAs cope with the degeneracy of the genetic code in two manners: having more than one tRNA (with a specific anti-codon) for a particular amino acid; and 'wobble' base-pairing, i.e. permitting non-standard base-pairing at the 3rd anti-codon position.
Source: Rfam by way of RNAcentral
GGAGGUAUAACUCAGUGGUAGAGUGUAUGCCUCGCACGCUCAAGGUCCUGGGUUCAAUCCCCCAUAGCUCCA